Molecule: ribosomal RNA, 773 nt
Filed under: uncultured Neocallimastigales
Lineage: Eukaryota; Fungi; Neocallimastigomycota; Neocallimastigomycetes; Neocallimastigales
Description: partial large subunit ribosomal RNA
Rfam family: Eukaryotic large subunit ribosomal RNA
Source: RNAcentral
AGAAGAGACAUGCGCGCAUAUCAAUAAGCGGAGGAAAAGAAACUAACUAGGAUUCCCUCAGUAACGGCGAGUGAAGCGGGAAGAGCUCAAAUUUGAAAUCUUCAAGGUUCUACCUUGACGAAUUGUAGUUUAAAGAAGUGUUUUCUGUUGGAGUUUUGGUAAAAGUUCUUUGGAAUAGGACAUCAUAGAGGGUGAGAAUCCCGUAUUUGACCAUUAUUUCCAGCUUUGUGAUACACUUUCAAAGAGUCGGAUUGUUUGGGAAUGCAGUCCAAAAUGGGUGGUAAAUUUCAUCUAAAGCUAAAUAUUGGCGAGAGACCGAUAGCGAACAAGUACCGUGAGGGAAAGAUGAAAAGAACUUUGAAAAGAGAGUUAAACAGUACGUGAAAUUGUCAAAAGGGAAGCGUUUGACACCAGUGUUGUUUUCUCGAAAAUCAAUUAAAAAAGGCAGGAUUUUGUGUUGUAUUGACUUUAUCAGCUUUCUGCACUCUAUUCUUGUCUUUUUUAAUGCACUUUUCGUUUAACAAGUCAACAUCAAUUUCUUUUGUUGUAAAAGGGUCAUUGGAAGGUGGCUUUCUUUUCGGAGAAAGUGUUUAUAGCCUUUGGCCUCUGCAAUCGGAGAGAUUGAGGUCUGCAGCGUAGAUCCUUCGGGGUUAGAUACAUUUGUGCUAAGUUAUAGCCUUUCAUAGACAACUUGUUGACUAUGAUCAGUCAUGUAGCUUACUCGCUUAUGCUAUUUUACCUACGCUUAGGAUGUUGAUGUGAUACUGCGAGCA